CUACGGGGUGCACCAGUGAGGAAUUUUGCGCAAUGGGGGAAACCCUGACGCAGCAACGCCGCGUGAGUGAUGAAGGCUUUCGGGUCGUAAAGCUCUGUCAAGUGGGAAGAACAUACAUAAGGCCAAUACCUUUAUGUACUGACGGUACCACUGAAGGAAGCACCGGCUAACUCCGUGCCAGCAGCCGCGGUAAUACGGGGGGUGCAAGCGUUAUUCGGAAUCAUUGGGCGUAAAGAGCACGUAGGCGGUUAUCUAAGUCAGAUGUGAAAGCCCGGGGCUUAACCCCGGAAGUGCAUUUGAUACUGGGAAACUUGAGUAUGGGAGAGGGAAGUGGAAUUCCUGGUGUAGAGGUGAAAUUCGUAGAUAUCAGGAGGAACACCGGUGGCGAAGGCGACUUCCUGGACCAAUACUGACGCUGAGGUGCGAAGGCGUGGGGAGCAAACAGGAUUAGAUACCCUAGUAGUC
Molecule: ribosomal RNA, 465 nt
Filed under: uncultured bacterium
Lineage: Bacteria
Description: partial 16S ribosomal RNA
Rfam family: Bacterial small subunit ribosomal RNA
Source: RNAcentral